GACGAACGCUGGCGGCGUGCUUAACACAUGCAAGUCGAACGAAGAGCGAUGGAAGCUUGCUUCUCUCAAUCUUAGUGGCGAACGGGUGAGUAACGCGUAAUCAACCUGCCCUUCAGAGGGGGACAACAGUUGGAAACGACUGCUAAUACCGCAUACGAUCUAAUCUCGGCAUCGAGGAUAGAUGAAAGGUGGCCUCUACAUGUAAGCUAUCACUGAAGGAGGGGGUUGCGUCUGAUUAGCUAGUUGGAGGGGUAACGGCCCACCAAGGCGAUGAUCAGUAGCCGGUCUGAGAGGAUGAACGGCCACAUUGGGACUGAGACACGGCCCAGACUCCUACGGGAGGCAGCAGUGGGGAAUCUUCCGCAAUGGACGAAAGUCUGACGGAGCAACGCCGCGUGAGUGAUGACGGCCUUCGGGUUGUAAAGCUCUGUUAAUCGGGACGAAAGGCCUUCUUGCGAAUAGUGAGAAGGAUUGACGGUACCGGAAUAGAAAGCCACGGCUAACUACGUG
Molecule: ribosomal RNA, 510 nt
Filed under: uncultured bacterium
Lineage: Bacteria
Description: partial 16S ribosomal RNA
Rfam family: Bacterial small subunit ribosomal RNA
Source: RNAcentral